Molecule: long non-coding RNA, 1812 nt
Organism: Nothobranchius furzeri (turquoise killifish)
Lineage: Eukaryota; Metazoa; Chordata; Actinopteri; Cyprinodontiformes; Nothobranchiidae
Source: Ensembl
AUGUGUUUUUGUUACUCACCUCAGGUUCCUGGAUCCUCGGAUAUCUCGCUCUCUCUGGAAGAAGAUCACUGGUUCCUGGAUCCUCGGAUAUCUCGCUCUCUCUGGAAGAAGAUCACUGGUUCGUUUCCUGUUUCACCUCCGCCAGCCGACCCGCUCUCCACCACGCUCACACUCCCUCUCCGAAUCAACCUCCUCCAACCAUCCUCCGUCUCACUCAUCAUCUUGGACCGCUACCUCACUUUGGAUAUCACCCCGGCUCUCUCCCCCUCCAAGUUCCAACUCCUCUUCCGCAUAGUAAGUCCGACUACAAACAAAUCUCCCAGAACUACAACUCCCAUACUCACCUCUGUUUCCCUGUAGAUGCCGCUUCCUGUUUCUGAAACCGCUGGACUUAAGUGCGCCCUUAGUUCUCCUGUCAAAAUAAAAUUAUUUUUACUUUUUACCAUCAUACUUGCCUCCGGUCUCUUAUUCUGCAUGUCUUGGGUUAAGCACAUACCUCAGAACAUGACACUUGUACGUAAAUUAGCAAUCCCUCUCCUGGACUAAAGUUAGGGGGGGUGAUUGUUAUACAUGGUGGCCCGUAUGGGGAAUCUGAAUAUAACUGUUUGUGCAAUUUUGUAUUUUGGGCUAGUGGGUUAAAGAAAAAAUAAAAUAAAUAAAUAAAUUUAAAUACACAAUUAGAAGGGGUUGAAAGGCAUAUACAUAUACUCUAAAGAUAUGUCUGUGACAAGUGAAUCUCCUCCUAAUGAAUUAGAUACAUCCCAUGAGGAGGCUAUGGGGAGCCCGGCGCUAAGCUCUCUACCCCAACCUCUGCGCAAGAACCAAGUGAGGUUGAGCCCAGGGGGAACUCAUGGGUGACUAGAAGAAACCCAGUAGGGGAAGUGACAUCCCUGAUUAGCUCUCUCUACAUUUCAGACCCAGAGGAGGUGGACGCAAGUCUGGCAGAAGAGGAAAACGCUUCUUAUCUCCCACCCCCUGCUUUUACUUAUUUUUUAAUGAUCUGGGGGUAGUUAUGGAGAGUAUAUCUACCCUUGAGACAGAUUACAGAGACUCUGUAAACAGCUCCUUGAGCAGAGAAUCACCCUUGAGGUCAUAUAUUGAUAAAAGUGUUGAAGCCUUGGAACAAGGCAUGAUAACCACCUUACAACAGUUUGAGGAAAAAUUGGUGGAAUGUUUACAGCGACGUGAUGACUAGUGGAAAACAGAGAUUGAACGACUGAAGCGCGCCAGUUGGAUUCCUCUCUGCACUCCCACAUUUUGGGCAGGAGUUGCAUCAUCCACCCGGAUUCAUGUCCGAUCCACUCCUCAUCAGACCUCCCAGGACAGCACUUCUUCAGGGGUGCCCCCAACCACAAAGUAAAUGACACCUACAGUGAACCACCCAAUCUGGAAACAUCCAGCCAACCAGAAUGCACAGGAAUGGAUGCAGUUUCCAAUGCCACAGACACAAACUUGCCUCUGCCCCCUGCACAGCUCCAGACAUUAAGCUCCAACCCAUCUACUCCAGCAGGUGCUUCAUACAGCCAGUCCGCCAGUAAACCUCCACUGGUUUACGCCAAACCUGCCAUCCAAAAGGACCUUUAGUGGAUCAAGGGAAGUAGCGGAUGUGUUUAAUUUUCUGCAUCAGUGUAAAACCUUUCUGGCUGUACGCCCCUUAUCAGAUCCAGAACUAAUUGGGGCCCUAUCCAACACUCUUAAGGGGCCAGCCCAUAGCUGGUGGAUGGUGGCAAAAAAUACAGUACACAGCUGGCUUGAGUUCAGGGACACCUUUAAGGCUGCAUUCCUUCCCCCAGAUUAAUUACCUCACAGAGG